ACCAGCAAAUACAAACUUUCCAACCUAUUUUAAGCUUCUAUACAGGAUUUGUAGAUGAUAUAUUGACAGUAUACAUGGACCAGACAGGAAUACAAGAUUUUGCCAAAUCAUUUACUUUAGAGGCAUGUGGUCUAAUAUUGAAAGGGAGCAACUGAUCAAUAUGAUAUACACUAUAUGGACAUGAGAAUAACAGUUCAAAAUGGAGACUUAACAACAUCUGUCUAUAAAAAAUCAACUUACAAACUGAUCCUAAUACCUAAAUGGUCUCAAGAUCUCAUAGCAUACAAAAAAACUGUAUUUAGAUAUUUCUUUAGAAGUGCUAUAUUGUACAUUGAGGAGGAGGAGAUAAAUUAUAGAAGUGGGAAAGCAACAUGGGAACAGUAAAUUGUUUAUUCUAAGUAUAUACCAUUGAAUAAGAAAGAGCCUCACAUCAAAAUUAAAUAAUGACCUACAACCAACAAGACAGCCAACUAGAUCUAACCAACAACAGGGCUACCUAGCUGUACCACACAAUCUGA
RNAcentral lists this long non-coding RNA (518 nucleotides) under Androctonus crassicauda. The record is from RNAcentral. Lineage: Eukaryota; Metazoa; Arthropoda; Arachnida; Scorpiones; Buthidae.